Molecule: RNA transcript, 1786 nt
Organism: Rhododendron vialii
Lineage: Eukaryota; Viridiplantae; Streptophyta; Magnoliopsida; Ericales; Ericaceae
Gene name: replication factor C subunit 2
Exons: 13
Source: RefSeq, a predicted model, not a curated record
AUUAAGAAGGGGGAGAGGAGCCGGUCUCACCCUACGCUCCAUUGCAAGUUUGAAGCGGGAAAGAACACCCCGAAAGAGAGAGAGAGAGAACAGAGAGAGAGAGAGAGGGAGAGAGAGAAAUGGCGCCAGUAAUACAGAGCUCUCAGCAAUGGGUCGAGAAAUAUCGACCGAAGCAAGUGAAGGACGUAGCUCACCAGGACGAGGUCGUUCGCGUCCUCACUAACACUCUCGAGACCGGCAGCUGCCCACAUAUGCUGUUCUACGGGCCGCCCGGUACAGGCAAAACCACAACAGCCCUUGCCAUAGCCCACCAGCUUUUUGGACCUGAACUCUACAAGUCUAGAGUGCUGGAACUUAAUGCAAGUGAUGAUCGUGGAAUCAAUGUAGUUCGCACAAAAAUAAAGAACUUUGCUGCUGUCGCUGUGGGUUCUGGACGUCAAGGGGGGUACCCCUGCCCACCUUUUAAGAUUAUAAUCCUAGACGAGGCAGAUUCCAUGACUGAAGAUGCUCAGAAUGCUUUGCGGCGUACCAUGGAAACUUACUCCAGAGUCACAAGAUUCUUUUUCAUUUGUAAUUACAUCAGCAGGAUCAUAGAGCCCCUCGCUUCUAGAUGUGCAAAGUUUAGGUUCAAACCACUUUCAGAAGAUAUCAUGACUGGUCGUGUAUUGCAUAUUUGUAAAGAGGAAGGCCUCGAUCUGGAUUCAGAGGCUCUUUCAACCUUAAGUUCCAUCUCACAGGGUGAUCUUCGUCGGGCUAUAACGUACUUACAGGGAGCUGCUCGAUUAUUCGGAUCAUCCAUCUCUUCCAAGGACUUAAUCAGUGUUUCAGGGGUCAUCCCCCAGGAGGUUGUUCAGUCUCUUUUUGCAGCUUGCAAAGGUGGUGAUUUUGACGUGGUAAACAAGGAAGUCAAUAAUGUAAUUCUAGAGGGAUAUCCUGUUUCUCAGAUGCUUUCUCAGUUGUUUGAGGUAAUUGUUGGAGCUGAUGAUAUAUCAGAUGAGCAGAAAGCGAAAAUAUGCAAGAAGUUGGCUGAAACAGAUAAGUGUCUUGUAGAUGGAGCUGACGAGUAUUUGCAGCUGUUGGAUGUGGCCAGCAUUACGACGCGAGUACUUUGUAACAUGCCACUAGAACUUUCUUAUGAGAAUUAGGUACUAUGAUACAGCUUUUGUAGCAAAUCGUGAAGGGAAAAACCCGUCCAGAAUAUGUUAUCUGUAAAUUUUGUAAUCUUUACUCUUCAUGAGACACGGUUUUCCCUCUUUUUUGUUUGCCAUCUUUGAAGAUGGAUAUUUAAUCUUCGAUUUUGUCUAGGUGUAAGCUUGCAACUGGACUCCAUUGGCUCCUGAAUAUAUCAUUCGUCUGGGGGUUGACGCUAUUUCCAGACCAUGAUAAACUCUAUCCAUAUCAUUUCCUGUUCUUUUGAUCGCCUCAUUCGCCUGGGGUUUGAUUUUGCAUCAGGGGGAAGUCAGUACGGUGCAAUCUGGACAUGACUUCUAAAUUUCGCAUGACAAUAAAAUUGCUGGGAGUAUGAUUGUGUUCCUUUUGCAGAAAGUUCCUCUGGGUUAAUCUUGGAUUCACUGUUGGCUUCAAAUCGGUGUUGCCAGUGAAAAAUGUAGCCCAUCCCUGAUCCGAUAAUUAGAUUGUUAUCGUUCGAAUUUUCAGGCUUGCGUGCAAACAGCUCUAGUUUUUAGAGACUAAGGUGAUCCGGUCGGCUCUAAAUUUCUGCCAACAAUAAUGUGCUCAACAAAUCAAUGAACUUAGAUUCUUCAAGCUUUGUUUGGAUCGGUGUUCA